This 254-nucleotide ribosomal RNA is filed under the name uncultured bacterium. RNAcentral's name for it is "partial 16S ribosomal RNA". It matches the Rfam family "Bacterial small subunit ribosomal RNA", at positions 524 to 776 of the family's 1533-position model. The record is from RNAcentral.
UACGUAGGGUGCAAGCGUUGUUCGGAUUUACUGGGCGUAAAGGGCGCGUAGGCGGCAAAUUAAGUCAGCUGUGAAAUCUCCGAGCUUAACUCGGAACUGUCAGCUGAUACUGAUCUGCUAGAGUGCGGAAGGGGCAAUCGGAAUUCUUGGUGUAGCGGUGAAAUGCGUAGAUAUCAAGAGGAACACCUGAGGUGAAGACGGGUUGCUGGGCCGACACUGACGCUGAGUGCGCGAAAGCCAGGGGAGCAAACGGG